UUUAUGUUAAUAAGCAUUAAUCUGCUCUCUUUACAGGAUUCCAGCUCUUCCUCUUCUGAAAGUGAAGAUGAAAAGAAGAAGAAGAAGAAGAAGAAGAAGCCCUGCUCUUCUGACGACGGCUCCUCUUCUUCCUCCUCUUCCUCUGAUAGUGAAGAUGACAAGAAGAAGAAGAAAAAGAAAGA
Cyclopterus lumpus (lumpfish) is the source of this 182-nucleotide long non-coding RNA. RefSeq lists it as uncharacterized. Lineage: Eukaryota; Metazoa; Chordata; Actinopteri; Perciformes; Cyclopteridae. The record is from RefSeq and is a predicted model, not a curated record. The transcript is spliced from 3 exons.